AUAGCGUAUAUUAAAGUUGUUGCAGUUAAAAAGCUCGUAGUUGAACUUCAGCCUCGGCCGGGCGGUCUGCCUCACGGUAUGUACUGUCUGGCUGGGGCUUACCUUCUGGUGAGCUUGCAUGCCGUUUAUUCGGUGUGUGAGGGAACCAGGACUUUUACUUUGAGAAAAUUAGAGUGUUCAAAGCAGGCAAAUGCCCGAAUACAUUAGCAUGGAAUAAUGGAAUAGGACGUGCGGUUCUAUUUUGUUGGUUUCUAGAGUCGCCGUAAUGAUUAAUAGGGACAGUUGGGGGCAUUAGUAUUGAGUUGCUAGAGGUGAAAUUCUUGGAUUUACUCAAGACUAACUACUG
Molecule: ribosomal RNA, 346 nt
Filed under: uncultured eukaryote
Lineage: Eukaryota
Description: SSU rRNA
Rfam family: Eukaryotic small subunit ribosomal RNA
Source: RNAcentral